GUAGGUGGCAAGCGUUGUCCGGAAUUAUUGGGCGUAAAGCGCGCGCAGGCGGGUUCUUUAAGUCUGAUGUGAAAGCCCACGGGCUCAACCGUGGAGGGUCAUUGGAAACUGGAGAACUUGAGUACAGAAGAGGAAAGCGGAAUUCCACGUGUAGCGGUGAAAUGCGUAGAGAUGUGGAGGAACACCAGUGGCGAAGGCGGCUUUCUGGUCUGUAACUGACGCUGAGGCGCGAAAGCGUGGGGAGCAAACAGGAUUAGAUACCCUGGUAGUCCACGCCGUAAACGAUGAGUGCUAAGUGUUAGGGGGUUUCCGCCCCUUAGUGCUACAGCUAACGCAUUAAGCACUCCGCCUGGGGAGUACGACCGCAAGGUUG
Molecule: ribosomal RNA, 373 nt
Filed under: uncultured organism
Description: partial 16S ribosomal RNA
Rfam family: Bacterial small subunit ribosomal RNA
Source: RNAcentral